Molecule: ribosomal RNA, 468 nt
Filed under: uncultured bacterium
Lineage: Bacteria
Description: partial 16S ribosomal RNA
Rfam family: Bacterial small subunit ribosomal RNA
Source: RNAcentral
GACGAACGCUGGCGGCGUGCUUAACACAUGCAAGUCGAACGGAAAGUCCCUGCUUUUGUGGGGUGCUCGAGUGGCGAACGGGUGAGUAACCCGUGAGUAACCUGCCCUUGACUUUGGGAUAUCUUCAGGCAACUGGGGCUCAUCCCGGCUAGGAGCUCCUGCCGCAUGGUGGGGGUUGGAUAGUUUCGGCGGUUGGGGAUGGAGUAGCGGCUUAUCAGCUUGUUGGUGUGGUAGUGGCUUACCAAGGCUUUGCCGGGUAGCCGGCGUGAGCGGGUGACCAGGCACAGCGGGACUGGGAUACGGCCCAGACCCCGACGCGAGGCAGCAGUGGGGAAGAGGGCACAAGGGGCGGAAGCCAGAUGCAGCAACGCCGCGUGCGGGAGGACGGCCUUCGGGUUGGAAACCGAUUUCGCCUGUGACGAAGCGGGAGUGACGGUAAUGGGUAAAGAAGCACCGGCUAACUACGUG